RNAcentral lists this non-coding RNA (29 nucleotides) under Rattus norvegicus (Norway rat). Lineage: Eukaryota; Metazoa; Chordata; Mammalia; Rodentia; Muridae. The record is from RNAcentral.
UCUAUCAUCUUGUGGCUGCAUAUCCUAUG